RNAcentral lists this ribosomal RNA (253 nucleotides) under uncultured bacterium. Its description in RNAcentral is "partial 16S ribosomal RNA". It matches the Rfam family "Bacterial small subunit ribosomal RNA", at positions 524 to 776 of the family's 1533-position model. The record is from RNAcentral.
UACGAAGGGGGCUAUCGUUGUUCGGAAUUACUGGGCGUAAAGCGCGUGUAGGUGGAAUGGUAAGCAAGAGGUGAAAUCCCAGAGCUCAACUUUGGAAUUGCCUUUUGAACUAUCAUUCUGGAGUAUUGGAGGGGAGUGCGGAAUUCCUAAUGUAGAGGUGAAAUUCGUAGAUAUUAGGAGGAACACCGGUGGCGAAGGCGGCACUCUGGACAAUAACUGACACUGAGACGCGAAAGCGUGGGGAGAAAACAGG